Molecule: long non-coding RNA, 1559 nt
Organism: Triticum dicoccoides
Lineage: Eukaryota; Viridiplantae; Streptophyta; Magnoliopsida; Poales; Poaceae
Exons: 4
Source: RefSeq, a predicted model, not a curated record
CUCACUUUCCCCAAAUCAGCCACAAUGGCGUCUUCCAAGUCUGUCGUCCUGCUGGUCCCCUCCGAUUCCUCCUCCGCUCGCUGACACCGGUACUCCCCUGCUCUCGGCCGUGGAUGAAUCCGCGCAAGGACGCCGGCUAGUGCGCGCCUCCGGCCACGCCGGUUGCUGCUGGAUUCCCCGACGCCGCUGCCCGCCUCCCCUCCCCUGGACGGCUAGGUCGCUAAGGCCUACUGUGCUUCGUCGGCCGUCAGCCAGCUCUAUCCGUCGAGCAGUGCUGCUUCAGCUCAACGCACAUGCCUGCCUCCCUAGAAUGCCGGCGGUGCAGGCUGCACUAUAACCAGCCCGUUUUACCACUAGAUCUGUGGGGCGCCGGCGGCAGCAGGCAGCUGUAGCCCCCGCUCCCUGACCAGCAUGACCAUGAGUAACAGCGGAUGCAGAGGACAAGCUCGAGGAUGGCGAUUCAGAGGAGCAGCAAUGCUAAGUGAUGCAUCUGCAAGGCGGUCAAUUGCUGAUAUGGCAUCGUCGGCUGUCCGUUUUUGCCCUCUUCCAGUUUCUUUUGAUACACUUCCAGUGGACUUCUUUUUUUCUUGCUCAAUGGUAGUUGACUUCUUCAUGAAGACACCAGGGGAAGUAUUGUUUUCAUCAGAAUCAAUCUCAUGAACUUCAACAUCCAUAUUGAGAUCAAUCUGUGAAGAUUUGCUUGUACAUGCAGCAUCUUUUCCUUUGCUAGAUACGGCACCAGCUCCAGAUGCUGUUGAAGUAGCACAUAUGGCUUGAAGAUCUACCCAACUAGGCCACACCUUAUCUCGAUAUUCCUGGAGAUACAAGAAGAAAUAAUGCAAGAUGAGUCAUUUUGUUCAUUACGAUAAAUCUACGAAGUGGAAGAAAAUGAGCAUGCCACUAAUAUUUCGAUCUUUUGAGGGGUAAUCCUGUGGUCGUUGUACACAAAUGGGAGUCUAGGAGUGAACUAAUCUUUUGUUCAAAGUGUGACUGGACACUUCAAUUUUUGUCGCAUGUUCGCCUAAUGGGAUGUUCCCUGACCAGUUACUUUGCUGGGUUGCAGCCAAGAUCUCAAGCAUGAAGUUCAUUUACUAUAAAGCUGGGCUAGGUUUCCCCACUUAUUGCCGCAACUUCACAUUGGACAUCACAAGGAUGGGUGAAGCCACGAAUCCUGAUUGAAGACCGGAAGAUGAUGAUGAUAACAAGAGCUCGAUGGAGGUGUGCAGUCCUAUUGAAGAUGGCCAAGUUCAGAUCCAAAGGCGAUGUAUUCCAUCCAGUGCCUGUGGCCGGGGAUCGCAUCCAGCCUGUGCGAUCUGUGUGGAGAACGCACCCUGCGGCCAACAAAAUCCUGUUAUAUAGGCAAUGGAAAAAGGCGGGAGGUGAGUCGCAGAAAGAAAAAUUGGCGCCAAUGUGGUUGUUCAGGAAAGGGUGGAGGCGGAGAUGGACAGUUGCGAUCUGUAUUUGUUAAUCGGGUUUGUGGAAAAACGACUAAUACUCGUUUUCCCACAAACCUGGAAUUCUGGGCCUUUGUGAAACGAGUUUCCUAUAUGCAUGGGUUA